This is a long non-coding RNA of Columba livia (rock pigeon), 790 nucleotides long. RefSeq lists it as uncharacterized. The record is from RefSeq and is a predicted model, not a curated record. The transcript has 3 exons. NCBI's taxonomy places the organism in Eukaryota, Metazoa, Chordata, Aves, Columbiformes, Columbidae.
GAUGACACGACAACACUGAAGCACAAACCAGCCUAUCGCACCUAAAGUGUGGUGAUUCUAACUGGAAGAGCUGUAUCGUAUUUCUGGUGAAAGUCAACCCACGACUGACCUUCAGGGCUAUUUUAUCUUUCUUGAAGUACCUGAAGCCUUUGAGCACUUCGAAGCCACUGCCUGACAGAACAACCUGUGGCUAGGGCAGUAACUAAAAUACUGUCCAAAAUCCAGAAGUAAGAUCACAAUUAUAAUGGGAGCAAGUAAAAACAACACCUCUGAGCACACACAGAAGCAGCAACAAACAAGAGAAGCCCUGAAGGAAAGUCCUGAAGCUCACAGGUGGACACAGGAACACAAGGAGCACACGUGGGGGCUGCCUUCCUCACCUACUGAUGCAACAGAAACCUACAGCUUCGCAUCCCUGUGCUUUUUCAAUGCCUCUGCCACACUGAACCUCACCCUUUUUCCUGCUGCUCUGCACUUAUUCUGUAAACACACUUACAAACCCUGCGAUGAAUUAGUGAUUCCUCAUCCCACCCCCAGCCCGGGGCAGCCUAUAUAAGCAGAAGGAAGCUGGAGCUCAGAGCACCUUGAAGAACAGCACAGCAAGAGUGACCCAAAGAUAUCUCCAGAGCAGACUGGGGAGAAUUACCGUGGACGGAUAUCCCAGUCAGAGCUUAUACAAGUCAUUUUCCACUCUUUCUGUAUAACUUUGGAUCUGAAGAUGUCAAGUACUGUAAGCCAUAGGACAUAAACACCUAAAGACAUGAGAAUAUGGUUCCAGCAGAAUCUAUAG